CGCGGCUCUGCGGCUCCCUGCGCGGCCCCUGCGCUGCCUCCGGGGCGGCGAGGACGGGCCGCUCCUCUCCCGGAAAGUUCGUGAGGGUCCCGGGCACCGGGGCGAAGUUAGCAGGGUCCCCGAGCGCCCGGAUUGCAGAAAUGCCCCCGAGCGCGUCGGAAGGUCUGGUCCGCUCCCUCCUGCGGCUCUGCAGCGGGAGCGAGGCCCUGGGCCGGCGCGGAGACCGGGGUGCGCGGCGGCCUCCCCUGCAGGCCCGGCAACCAAGUGAGAUGUUGUGAGAAAAACGGCGUGGUAGACAAGUGCACAAAAUACAGUUCCCCUGGAGAUCCUAUGAGGCGCCUUGUUCCGAAGGCCACGGAUCUGCUAGACCAGAUGCCUUAUGAGAGUGCAGACCAUAGUGUUCCUACCACACUGCGUCAUUCGAGUCAUUGCGAGACAUGGAGAGGAGCAGGAGAUUUGUUAUUUGCAAUAAGAAAAUGCCAUGGACAAAUGAUUACUAGUCUAUAAAAUCCAAUCAUGGUAAAGGACAUUGUUUAUACCAAAA
This 544-nucleotide long non-coding RNA is filed under the name Chinchilla lanigera (long-tailed chinchilla). RNAcentral describes it as "lncRNA (ENSCLAG00000027822.1)". The record is from RNAcentral. Lineage: Eukaryota; Metazoa; Chordata; Mammalia; Rodentia; Chinchillidae.